GUAGGUGGCAAGCGUUGUCCGGAGUUAUUGGGCGUAAAGCGCGCGCAGGCGGUUCUUUAAGUCUGAUGUGAAAGCCCACGGCUCAACCGUGGAGGGUCAUUGGAAACUGGAGAACUUGAGUACAGAAGAGGAAAGCGGAAUUCCACGUGUAGCGGUGAAAUGCGUAGAGAUGUGGAGGAACACCAGUGGCGAAGGCGGCUUUCUGGUCUGUAACUGACGCUGAGGCGCGAAAGCGUGGGGAGCAAACAGGGAUUAGAUACCCUGGUAGUCUACGCCGUAAACGAUGAGUGCUAAGUGUUAGGGGGGUUUCCGCCCCCUUAGUGCUGCAGCUAACGCAUUAAGCACUCCGCCUGGGGAUACGGCCGCAAGGCUG
This 373-nucleotide ribosomal RNA is filed under the name uncultured organism. Its description in RNAcentral is "partial 16S ribosomal RNA". It matches the Rfam family "Bacterial small subunit ribosomal RNA", at positions 527 to 896 of the family's 1533-position model. The record is from RNAcentral.